CUCCAGACUCCUACGGGAGGCAGCAGUGGGGAAUCUUCCGCAAUGGGCGCAAGCCUGACGGAGCAACGCCGCGUGAAUGAAGAAGGUCUUCGGAUCGUAAAGUUCUGUUCUUAGGGAAGAAGUCUUUUCUUGUGAAUAAUGGGAGAAGGUGACGGUACCUAUGGAGAAAGCUCCGGCUAACUCCGUGCCAGCAGCCGCGGUAAUACGGAGGGUGCGAGCGUUAAUCGGAAUUACUGGGCGUAAAGGGAGCGCAGGCGGCGCGCCAAGUCUGAUGUGAAACCCCGGGGCUCAACCCCGGGCAUGCAUUGGAAACUGGCGGGCUGGAGUGCCGGAGAGGUAAGCGGAAUUCCUAGUGUAGCGGUGAAAUGCGUAGAUAUUAGGAGGAACACCAGUGGCGAAGGCGGCUUACUGGACGGCAACUGACGCUGAGGCUCGAAAGCGUGGGGAGCAAACAGGAUUAGAUACCCUCGUA
RNAcentral lists this ribosomal RNA (472 nucleotides) under uncultured bacterium. RNAcentral's name for it is "partial 16S ribosomal RNA". It matches the Rfam family "Bacterial small subunit ribosomal RNA", at positions 329 to 792 of the family's 1533-position model. The record is from RNAcentral.